This 468-nucleotide ribosomal RNA is filed under the name uncultured bacterium. Its description in RNAcentral is "partial 16S ribosomal RNA". It matches the Rfam family "Bacterial small subunit ribosomal RNA", at positions 28 to 507 of the family's 1533-position model. The record is from RNAcentral.
GACGAACGCUGGCGGCGUGCUUAACACAUGCAAGUCGAACGGAAAGGCCCUGCCUUUGUGGGGUGCUCGAGUGGCGAACGGGUGAGUAACACGUGAGUAAUCUGCCCUGGACUUUGGGAUAACUUCAGGAAACUGGGGCUAAUACCGGAUAGGAGCUCCUGCUGCAUGGUGGGGGUUGGAAAGUUUCGGCGGUUGGGGAUGGACUCGCGGAUUAUCAGCUUGUUGGUGGGGUAGUGGCUUACCAAGGCUUUGACGGGUAGCCGGCCUGAGAGGGGGACCGGCCACAUUGGGACUGGGGUACGGCCCAGACUCCUACGGGAGGCAGCAGUGGGGAAUAUUGCACAAUGGGCGGAAGCCUGAUGCAGCAACGCCGCGUGCGGGAUGACGGCCUUCGGGUUGUAAACCGCUUUCGCCUGUGACGAAGCGUGAGUGACGGUAAUGUGUAAAGAAGCACCGGCUAACUACGUG